This 644-nucleotide ribosomal RNA is filed under the name Streptomyces sp. 3113_1. Its description in RNAcentral is "bacterial SSU rRNA". It matches the Rfam family "Bacterial small subunit ribosomal RNA", at positions 100 to 758 of the family's 1533-position model. Lineage: Bacteria; Bacillati; Actinomycetota; Actinomycetes; Kitasatosporales; Streptomycetaceae. The record is from RNAcentral. RNAcentral also lists the same sequence under 6 other names.
GAACGGGUGAGUAACACGUGGGCAAUCUGCCCUUCACUCUGGGACAAGCCCUGGAAACGGGGUCUAAUACCGGAUAAUACUCCUGCCUGCAUGGGCGGGGGUUGAAAGCUCCGGCGGUGAAGGAUGAGCCCGCGGCCUAUCAGCUUGUUGGUGGGGUAAUGGCCCACCAAGGCGACGACGGGUAGCCGGCCUGAGAGGGCGACCGGCCACACUGGGACUGAGACACGGCCCAGACUCCUACGGGAGGCAGCAGUGGGGAAUAUUGCACAAUGGGCGAAAGCCUGAUGCAGCGACGCCGCGUGAGGGAUGACGGCCUUCGGGUUGUAAACCUCUUUCAGCAGGGAAGAAGCGAAAGUGACGGUACCUGCAGAAGAAGCGCCGGCUAACUACGUGCCAGCAGCCGCGGUAAUACGUAGGGCGCAAGCGUUGUCCGGAAUUAUUGGGCGUAAAGAGCUCGUAGGCGGCUUGUCACGUCGGAUGUGAAAGCCCGAGGCUUAACCUCGGGUCUGCAUUCGAUACGGGCUAGCUAGAGUGUGGUAGGGGAGAUCGGAAUUCCUGGUGUAGCGGUGAAAUGCGCAGAUAUCAGGAGGAACACCGGUGGCGAAGGCGGAUCUCUGGGCCAUUACUGACGCUGAGGAGCGAAA